Molecule: unclassified non-coding RNA, 378 nt
Filed under: plant metagenome
Description: partial contains 5.8S ribosomal RNA, internal transcribed spacer 2, and large subunit ribosomal RNA
Rfam family: 5.8S ribosomal RNA (bases 1-105)
Source: RNAcentral
GAAAUGCGAUAAGUAAUGUGAAUUGCAGAAUUCAGUGAAUCAUCGAAUCUUUGAACGCACCUGGCGCUCCUUGGUAUUCCUUGGAGCAUGCCUGUUUGAGUAUCAUGAAAUCUUCAAAGUAAAUCUUUUGUUAACUCAAUUGGUUUCUACUUUGGUAUUGGAGGUCUUUGCAGCUUCACACCUGCUCCUCUUUGUUCAUUAGCUGGAUCUCAGUGUUAUGCUUGGUUCCACUCGGCGUGAUAAGUUAUCUAUCGCUGAGGACACUGUAAAAGGUGGCCAAGGUAAAUGCAGAUGAACCGCUUCUAAUAGUCCAUUGACUUGGACACUACUUUUAUGAUCUGAUCUCAAAUCAGGUAGGACUACCCGCUGAACUUAAGC